AAAAUUAGAGUGUUCAAAGCAGGCAGAUCCAAUUUUCUGCCACCGAAUACAUUAGCAUGGGAUAAUGGAAUAGGACCCUGUCCUCCUAUUUUCAGUUGGUUUUGGCAGCGCGAGGACUAGGGUAAUGAUUAAUAGGGAUAGUUGGGGGCAUUAAUAUUUAAUUGUCAGAGGUGAAAUUCUUGGAUUUAUGAAAGAUUAACUUCUGCGAAAGCAUCUGCCAAGGAUGUUUUCAUUAAUCAAGAACGAAAGUUAGGGGAUCGAAGACGAUCAGAUACCGUCGUAGUCUUAACCAUAAACGAUGCCGACCAGCGAUUAGGAGACGUUGAAUACAAAACACCACCAUCGGUUGCGGUCGUCCUUGGCGUCUCGGUUUCGGCCGGGGCGCGGGGAUGGCUUAGCCCGGUGGCACCGGUGAA
Molecule: ribosomal RNA, 416 nt
Filed under: Acanthamoeba sp.
Lineage: Eukaryota; Discosea; Longamoebia; Acanthamoebidae
Also listed under: 15 other names
Description: SSU rRNA
Rfam family: Eukaryotic small subunit ribosomal RNA
Source: RNAcentral